ACUCAAAGGAAUUGACGGGGGCCCGCACAAGCAGCGGAGCAUGUUCUUUAAUUCGACGCAACGCGAAGAACCUUACCAGGGCUUGACAUGCACGGGAAUGUCAUAGAGAUAUGGCAGCCCUUCGGGGCUCGUGCACAGGUGUUGCAUGGCCGUCGUCAGCUCGUGUCGUGAGAUGUUGGGUUAAGUCCCGCAACGAGCGCAACCCCUGUCCCUAGUUGCCAGCGGAUAAUGCCGGGGACUCUAGGGAGACUGCCGGCGACAAGUCGGAGGAAGGUGGGGAUGAUGUCAGGUCAGCAUGACCCUUAUGUCCUGGGCUAGAAACGUGCUACAUUGGCCGGUACAAAGGGCUGCAAACCCGUGAGGGGGAGCGAAUCCCAAAAAACCGGUCCCGGUUCGGAUUGGAGGCUGAAACUCGCCUCCAUGAAGGCGGAGUUGCUAGUAAUCGCGGAUCAGCAACGCCGCGGUGAAUACGUUCUCGGGCCUUGUACACACCGCCCGU
This 499-nucleotide ribosomal RNA is filed under the name uncultured bacterium. Its description in RNAcentral is "partial 16S ribosomal RNA". It matches the Rfam family "Bacterial small subunit ribosomal RNA", at positions 899 to 1397 of the family's 1533-position model. The record is from RNAcentral.